Balaenoptera musculus (blue whale) is the source of this 1459-nucleotide RNA transcript. It is a transcript of the gene named nicotinamide riboside kinase 1, with no coding region annotated. Lineage: Eukaryota; Metazoa; Chordata; Mammalia; Artiodactyla; Balaenopteridae. The record is from RefSeq and is a predicted model, not a curated record. The transcript has 13 exons.
CUCUCACCCGGGAGGGGCACGGGGGAAGGGGCCGUGGGCCUCUCGGUUAACGAGCUUCGGGGGUUGCGGCGGGUUAGUGACAGGCGCGCUUGGCAAUCGCCUGUGCCGCUUUGCUUGGGAGCACUCGAACUGGCGCCCGGAAGACGUGAUUUUCAAAGCUAAUUAUGAAAACAUUUGUCAUUGGAAUCGGUGGUGUGACAAAUGGUGGGAAGACAACACUGGCUAAGAAUUUGCAGAAACGCCUUCCAAACUGCAGUAUCAUAUCUCAGGAUAAUUUCUUUAAGCCAGAGUCUGAGAUAGAGACAGAUGAAAAUGGAUUUCUUCAGUAUGAUGUGCUUGAAGCACUUAACAUGGAGGAAAUGAUGUCCGCCAUUUCCUGCUGGAUGGAAAGCGCAGCACACCCUCUGGCAUCAACAGACAGGGGAAACACUGAGGAAAUUCCCAUCUUAAUUAUCGAAGGUUUCCUUCUCUAUAAUUACAAGCCCCUUGACACUAUAUGGAAUAGAAGCUAUUUUCUGACCAUUCCGUAUGAAGAAUGUAAGAGGAGGAGGAGUACAAGGAUCUACGAGCCUCCAGACACCCCAGGGUACUUUGAGGGCCAUGUGUGGCCCAUGUAUCUAAAGCACAGAAAAGAAAUGGAGAACAUCUCAUGGGAAAUCGUUUACCUAGAUGGAACAAAAUCUGAAGAGGACCUCUUUUCACAAGUGUAUGAAGACCUAAUACAAGAACUAGCAAAGCAAAAGUGUCUACAAGUGACAGCGUAAAGUUGGAAUGCACUGAAUCCUUCCUGGAGUGAAUUAGGAAAUUCAAAGGAAUCUAUGCAAGAACCUUAACCAAGAUACAAUGUGUACUUUGCAACUUGAAAGUGUUAUGGAAAAGCCAGGGUCUUUCAUCCUUGGCUGCGGAGCUACCCCAGGAGGUCACAGGAAGGCAGCAGAAGCUCCCCGCACAGUGUCAACUAUAAAGGCAGGAAGCUGGGUAGAGGAUGCACAGCCAGCCGCAGGCCUUCCAGAGUCACCCAGCAGUGACCCCAACAGCCAGAACUACCUCCAUGGCCACUUCUCACUGCAAGAGAGGCUGGGAAGAGGCGUUCUGAGAGGUUUGAGCUCAUUGUGUUUCAUUGUCUGGGGAUGUUGCCACGGGGAAGAAAAAGCUUUUACUAAGGAAGGAGGAGGAAAUAGAUCUAUCAUCUGUAAGUCUGAAGGUUAUAUUGGAGGACUUUCUUAAAACUUCAAAGUGACCAUGAUGAAAACAUCCAACAGGGAAGAAAUUUCCAACAGUGACGAUGCUUCUGUAAAAAUGUCAACAAAAUAGGAGGCUGACAGAGGAGACCUGGAAUCUGUAGCAACUCAACUCAAGACUCCAUAUUCAACACACUUCUUGAACUUAUCUUUCAAGCAAAGCCCUAUAAGGGAUGGCUUCACCUAGUCCUCAGACUCGGAUCCAUCUUCAUCUUGAC